CAACCACACUCCUGCCCGCCCAGCCUGGACCCCACACCUUAGGUUCUUCUGGUCCUGCCUGAAGAACCAUUUCCUGAGCUUUGGUGUGUGUACGCAAACGCGGAAAGAAACUGUAAGAGCAAAAGGAAGGAAAUCUGGCUGGGCUGAGAACCAGUUUCCAGGACCACAACCUUCCAGCGAGACACACCAAGCCCUAGUGGACCUUGCUCCCUAGUUAUCCCCGCAGGCAGACUGUGGAGGAGGAGCAAAGAUGCUGAAGAAAGAAGUAUCCAACCGUUUCUGCCAGGCAUGUGCUAGGCUCAGGGGCAGCGAGGCGAGGAGGACUGUGGCCCUCUCCUCUGCCUGCAGACAGAGCCCACACUGUAAAUAGAGGCACUCCCCAGAGCCAGACAGCUGCACGAACUCAGGGAGGAAGAAGAAAAAACUGAUUUCACAGAGGUGCCACGAGGUAAGAAGCCAUUCUUCCUGGAGUGAUCGUGUGUGCUUCCAGCUUCCUCAGCCUCAACCCUACUCUUAUCAGACUCCAAGAUCAAUCUUGGCUGCAAACUUUGCUGGUGAGCAGGGAGAAGCCGCCAGCGAUGGACAGCUCCACCUUUUCUCAUGGCUCAGCCUGUGGAGAAGGACUUUGCUCUCUCAGGUAUGGUUGCUGGUCUUGGAGAGACUCCUGGAGAGGCAAGGGCAGCUGCAGCUCACAGACCUUGGUGGCAGGCAUAUUGGGGGGCACUCAGCCAUGUGAACACCCCUGGAGGCUG
This 752-nucleotide long non-coding RNA is filed under the name Camelus dromedarius (Arabian camel). Its description in RNAcentral is "lncRNA (ENSCDRG00005004146.1)". The record is from RNAcentral. Lineage: Eukaryota; Metazoa; Chordata; Mammalia; Artiodactyla; Camelidae.